Molecule: ribosomal RNA, 253 nt
Filed under: uncultured bacterium
Lineage: Bacteria
Description: partial 16S ribosomal RNA
Rfam family: Bacterial small subunit ribosomal RNA
Source: RNAcentral
GACGAACCACACAAACGUUAUUCGGAAUUACUGGGCGUAAAGCGCACGUAGGCGGCUUUGUAAGUUAGAGGUGAAAGCCUGGAGCUCAACUCCAGAAUUGCCUUUAAGACUGCAUCGCUUGAAUCCAGGAGAGGUGAGUGGAAUUCCGAGUGUAGAGGUGAAAUUCGUAGAUAUUCGGAAGAACACCAGAGGCGAAGGCGGCUCACUGGACUGGUAUUGACGCUGAGGUGCGAAAGCGUGGGGAGCAAACAGG